This is a small nucleolar RNA of Humulus lupulus (European hop), 89 nucleotides long. RefSeq annotates it as small nucleolar RNA R11/Z151. The record is from RefSeq and is a predicted model, not a curated record. The transcript has a single exon. NCBI's taxonomy places the organism in Eukaryota, Viridiplantae, Streptophyta, Magnoliopsida, Rosales, Cannabaceae.
AGGCUUAUGAUGAUAACAUUAAUUAUCUUAGCGGAUUUCGGUGAGAUUUUAUAGUCAAUGAUUUUAAUGUUACACACACUAAAAGACCU